CCUACGGGAGGCAGCAGUGGGGGAUAUUGCACAAUGGGGGGAACCCUGAUGCAGCGACGCCGCGUGGGUGAAGAAGCGCCUCGGCGCGUAAAGCCCUGUCAGCAGGGAAGAAAAUGACCGUACCCGAAGAAGAAACCCCGGCUAACUACGGUCCAGCAGUCGCCGUAAUACGUAGGGGGCCAUCGUUAUCCGGAUUUACCUGGUGUAAAGGGGGCGCAGACGGCGGUGCAAGCCAGGAGUGAAAGCCCGGGGCCCAACCCCCGGACUGCCCUUGGAACUGCGUGGCUGGAGUGCAGGAGGGGCAGGCGGAAUUCCUGGUGUAGCGGUGAAAUGCGUAGAUAUCAGGAGGAACACCGGUGGCGAAGGCGGCCUGCUGGACUGCAACUGACGUUGAGGCCCGAAAGCGUGGGGAGCAAACAGGAUUAGAUACCCCAGUAGUC
RNAcentral lists this ribosomal RNA (440 nucleotides) under uncultured bacterium. RNAcentral's name for it is "partial 16S ribosomal RNA". It matches the Rfam family "Bacterial small subunit ribosomal RNA", at positions 338 to 795 of the family's 1533-position model. The record is from RNAcentral.